RNAcentral lists this ribosomal RNA (253 nucleotides) under uncultured bacterium. RNAcentral's name for it is "partial 16S ribosomal RNA". It matches the Rfam family "Bacterial small subunit ribosomal RNA", at positions 524 to 776 of the family's 1533-position model. The record is from RNAcentral.
CACGUAGGGGGCGAGCGUUGUCCGGAUUUAUUGGGCGUAAAGAGCUCGUAGGCGGUUCAGUAAGUCGGGUGUGAAAUCCCCGGGCUCAACCUGGGAACUGCGUUUGAAACUACAAGACUAGAGUGUAGCAGAGGGGGGUGGAAUUCCACGUGUAGCAGUGAAAUGCGUAGAGAUGUGGAGGAACACCGAUGGCGAAGGCAGCCCCCUGGGUUAACACUGACGCUCAGGCACGAAAGCAUGGGGAGCAAACAGG